GGGCCUAUAGCUCAAUUGGUUAGAGUCCCCGUCUCAUAAACGGGUAGUUCCUGGUUCAAGUCCAGGUGGGCCCA
RNAcentral lists this transfer RNA (74 nucleotides) under Deltaproteobacteria bacterium. RNAcentral's name for it is "tRNA-Ile". It matches the Rfam family "tRNA". From Rfam's summary of the family: Transfer RNA (tRNA) molecules are approximately 80 nucleotides in length. Their secondary structure includes four short double-helical elements and three loops (D, anti-codon, and T loops). Lineage: Bacteria; Pseudomonadati; Myxococcota; Myxococcia. RNAcentral also lists the same sequence under 1 other name. The record is from RNAcentral.